Molecule: unclassified non-coding RNA, 250 nt
Filed under: plant metagenome
Description: partial contains small subunit ribosomal RNA, internal transcribed spacer 1, and 5.8S ribosomal RNA
Source: RNAcentral
GUAGGUGAACCUGCGGAAGGAUCAUUACAGAGAGGGGCUUCACGCUCCGGGGGGUCUCGGCCCCCGACUCUCAACCCCGUGACUAUCUCCCCCUGUUGCUUUGGCGGACCUUGGGGUCAUGCUCAUGCCGGUAACCCCGGCGAGUGCCCGCCGUAAGCCCAUCAAAACUCGUUUUAUUUAUCAGUGUCCGAGCUUGAUUUCAAUUAAGCAAAACUUUCAACAACGGAUCUCUUGGUUCUGGCAUCGAUGA